RNAcentral lists this ribosomal RNA (387 nucleotides) under uncultured bacterium. RNAcentral's name for it is "bacterial SSU rRNA". It matches the Rfam family "Bacterial small subunit ribosomal RNA", at positions 29 to 417 of the family's 1533-position model. The record is from RNAcentral.
ACGAACGCUGGCGGCGUGCUUAACACGUGCAAGUCGAGCGGUAAGGCCCUUUCGGGGGUACACGAGCGGCGAACGGGUGAGUAACACGUGGGUGACCUGCCCUCAGCUCUGGGAUAAGCCUGGGAAACUGGGUCUAAUACCGGAUAUGACUCCAUGACGCAUGUUGUGGGGUGGAAAGCCUUGUGCGGCUGAGGAUGGGCCCGCGGCCUAUCAGCUUGUUGGUGGGGUGAUGGCCUACCAAGGCGACGACGGGUAGCCGGCCUGAGAGGGCGACCGGCCACACUGGGACUGAGACACGGCCCAGACUCCUACGGGAGGCAGCAGUGGGGAAUCUUGCGCAAUGGGCGAAAGCCUGACGCAGCGACGCCGCGUGAGGGAUGACGGCCU